This 835-nucleotide ribosomal RNA is filed under the name Escherichia coli. RNAcentral's name for it is "bacterial SSU rRNA". It matches the Rfam family "Bacterial small subunit ribosomal RNA", at positions 60 to 886 of the family's 1533-position model. The record is from RNAcentral. Lineage: Bacteria; Pseudomonadati; Pseudomonadota; Gammaproteobacteria; Enterobacterales; Enterobacteriaceae.
AGUCGAGCGGUAGCACAGAGAGCUUGCUCUCGGGUGACGAGCGGCGGACGGGUGAGUAAUGUCUGGGAAACUGCCUGAUGGAGGGGGAUAACUACUGGAAACGGUAGCUAAUACCGCAUAACGUCGCAAGACCAAAGUGGGGGACCUUCGGGCCUCAUGCCAUCAGAUGUGCCCAGAUGGGAUUAGCUAGUAGGUGGGGUAACGGCUCACCUAGGCGACGAUCCCUAGCUGGUCUGAGAGGAUGACCAGCCACACUGGAACUGAGACACGGUCCAGACUCCUACGGGAGGCAGCAGUGGGGAAUAUUGCACAAUGGGCGCAAGCCUGAUGCAGCCAUGCCGCGUGUGUGAAGAAGGCCUUCGGGUUGUAAAGCACUUUCAGCGGGGAGGAAGGCGUUGAGGUUAAUAACCUUGUCGAUUGACGUUACCCGCAGAAGAAGCACCGGCUAACUCCGUGCCAGCAGCCGCGGUAAUACGGAGGGUGCAAGCGUUAAUCGGAAUUACUGGGCGUAAAGCGCACGCAGGCGGUCUGUCAAGUCGGAUGUGAAAUCCCCGGGCUCAACCUGGGAACUGCAUUCGAAACUGGCAGGCUAGAGUCUUGUAGAGGGGGGUAGAAUUCCAGGUGUAGCGGUGAAAUGCGUAGAGAUCUGGAGGAAUACCGGUGGCGAAGGCGGCCCCCUGGACAAAGACUGACGCUCAGGUGCGAAAGCGUGGGGAGCAAACAGGAUUAGAUACCCUGGUAGUCCACGCCGUAAACGAUGUCGAUUUGGAGGUUGUGCCCUUGAGGCGUGGCUUCCGGAGCUAACGCGUUAAAUCGACCGCCUGGGGAGUACGGC